AGUCGAACGGAGCGCCCGGACGGAGUAUUUCGGUAUGAAGACCAGGUGACUGAGUGGCGGACGGGUGAGUAACGCGUGGACAACCUGCCGUGUACAGGGGGAUAACAGCCGGAAACGGCUGCUAAUACCGCAUAUGCGCACAGUGCCGCAUGGCACAGGGCGGAAAGCCUAGAUCUUAUCUAGUACGGUACACGAUGGGUCCGCGUCUGAUUAGGUAGUUGGCGGGGUAACGGCCCACCAAGCCCACGAUCAGUAGCCGGCCUGAGAGGGCGGACGGCCACACUGGGACUGAGACACGGCCCAGACUCCUGCGGGAGGCAGCAGUGGGGAAUAUUGCACAAUGGGGGGAACCCUGAUGCAGCGACGCCGCGUGAAGGAAGAAGUAUCUCGGUAUGUAAACUUCUAUCAGCAGGGAAGAAAGAGGACGGUACCUGACUAAGAAGCCCCGGCUAACUACGUGCCAGCAGCCGCGGUAAUACGUAGGGGGCGAGCGUUAUCCGGAUUUACUGGGUGUAAAGGGAGCGUAGACGGCCAUGCAAGCUCGGUGUGAAAGGUGCGGGCACAACCCGCAGACUACACUGAGAACUGUAUGGCUGGAGUGCCGGAGGGGCAGGCGGAAUUCCUGGUGUAGCGGUGAAAUGCGUAGAUAUCAGGAGGAACACCGGUGGCGAAGGCGGCCUGCUGGACGGCGACUGACGUUG
This 701-nucleotide ribosomal RNA is filed under the name uncultured bacterium. RNAcentral's name for it is "bacterial SSU rRNA". It matches the Rfam family "Bacterial small subunit ribosomal RNA", at positions 60 to 748 of the family's 1533-position model. The record is from RNAcentral.